GGGGAAAGAUUUAUCGCCGAAGGAUCGGCCCGCGUUGGAUUAGGUAGUUGGUGGGGUAACGGCCUACCAAGCCGACGAUCCAUAGCUGGUUUUAGAGGAUGAUCAGCCACACUGGGACUGAGACACGGCCCAGACUCCUACGGGAGGCAGCAGUGGGGAAUCUUAGACAAUGGGCGCAAGCCUGAUCUAGCCAUGCCGCGUGAGUGAUGAAGGUCUUAGGAUCGUAAAGCUCUUUCGCUGGGGAAGAUAAUGACGGUACCCAGUAAAGAAACCCCGGCUAACUCCGUGCCAGCAGCCGCGGUAAUACGGAGGGGGUUAGCGUUGUUCGGAAUUACUGGGCGUAAAGCGCGCGUAGGCGGACUGGAAAGUUGGGGGUGAAAUCCCGGGGCUCAACCUCGGAACUGCCUCCAAAACUAUCAGUCUAGAGUUCGAGAGAGGUGAGUGGAAUUCCGAGUGUAGAGGUGAAAUUCGUAGAUAUUCGGAGGAACACCAGUGGCGAAGGCGGCUCACUGGCUCGAUACUGACGCUGAGGUGCGAAAGUGUGGGGAGCAAACAGGAUU
Molecule: ribosomal RNA, 560 nt
Filed under: Roseivivax sp. NH88-111
Lineage: Bacteria; Pseudomonadati; Pseudomonadota; Alphaproteobacteria; Rhodobacterales; Roseobacteraceae
Description: bacterial SSU rRNA
Rfam family: Bacterial small subunit ribosomal RNA
Source: RNAcentral